Non-coding RNA from Pelobates cultripes (western spadefoot toad), 325 nucleotides. NCBI's taxonomy places the organism in Eukaryota, Metazoa, Chordata, Amphibia, Anura, Pelobatidae. The record is from the annotation of a GenBank genome assembly.
AUCACCUUUAGCUUUCAAUGUGAGGAAUCUAGAGUGUCACAGUAAACAGUGGUCACAUAAAUAAAUUAAAAGGGCAUACCAAUCACCCAUAGUCAUGAUCGUGACAAAGGGAUAUGGUUCCAAGCCAUUAGCCCUUGCAACAAGUAGAAGUCAAGGUUGCUGUUUUGUUCGCUACGAUACAUCAUUAUCUUAAGAAUCGUAAGUCCUGUUAAAAAACAUUAAGCAUCGAAUAACGAAUUGCAGAGAGGCCAGAAGGAAAUUGAACUAUCUCUAUUGAUGAUGUAUUGCACCUUGUCUCUUGCUUGGUGGAGGAAAUACCACAAAU